UACGUAGGGUGCAAGCGUUGUCCGGAAUUAUUGGGCGUAAAGAGCUCGUAGGCGGUUUGUUGCGUCGGCUGUGAAAUCCCGAGGCUCAACCUCGGGUCUGCAGUCGAUACGAGCAAACUAGAGUGUUGCAGGGGAGACUGGAAUUCCUGGUGUAGCGGUGAAAUGCGUAGAUAUCAGGAGGAAUACCGGUGGCGAAAGCGACUCUCUGGACGGUAACUGACGCUGAGGCACGAAAGCGUGGGGAGCAAACAGG
This 253-nucleotide ribosomal RNA is filed under the name uncultured bacterium. RNAcentral's name for it is "partial 16S ribosomal RNA". It matches the Rfam family "Bacterial small subunit ribosomal RNA", at positions 524 to 776 of the family's 1533-position model. The record is from RNAcentral.